RNAcentral lists this ribosomal RNA (458 nucleotides) under uncultured bacterium. RNAcentral describes it as "bacterial SSU rRNA". It matches the Rfam family "Bacterial small subunit ribosomal RNA", at positions 356 to 831 of the family's 1533-position model. The record is from RNAcentral.
GGGGGAUAUUGCACAAUGGGCGAAAGCCUGAUGCAGCGACGCGGCGUGAAGGAUGAAGUAUUUCGGUAUGUAAACUUCUAUUAGCAGGGAAGAAAAUGACGGUACCUGACUAAGAAGCCCCGGCUAACUACGUGCCAGCAGCCGCGGUAAUACGUAGGGGGCAAGCGUUAUCCGGAUUUACUGGGUGUAAAGGGAGCGUAGACGGCUGUGCAAGUCUGAAGUGAAAGGCAUGGGCUCAACCUGUGGACUGCUUUGGAAACUGUGCAGCUAGAGUGUCGGAGAGGUAAGUGGAAUUCCUAGUGUAGCGGUGAAAUGCGUAGAUAUUAGGAGGAACACCAGUGGCGAAGGCGGCUUACUGGACGAUGACUGACGUUGAGGCUCGAAAGCGUGGGGAGCAAACAGGAUUAGAUACCCUGGUAGUCCACGCCGUAAACGAUGACUGCUAGGUGUCGGGUAGC